This 468-nucleotide ribosomal RNA is filed under the name uncultured bacterium. RNAcentral's name for it is "partial 16S ribosomal RNA". It matches the Rfam family "Bacterial small subunit ribosomal RNA", at positions 28 to 507 of the family's 1533-position model. The record is from RNAcentral.
GACGAACGCUGGCGGCGUGCUUAACACAUGCAAGUCGAACGGAAAGGCCCUGCUUUUGUGGGGUGCUCGAGUGGCGAACGGGUGAGUAACACGUGAGUAACCUGCCCUUGACUUUGGGAUAACUUCAGGAAACUGGGGCUAAUACCGGAUAGGAGCUCCUGCUGCAUGGUGGGGGUUGGAAAGUUUCGGCGGUUGGGGAUGGACUCGCGGCUUAUCAGCUUGUUGGUGGGGUAGUGGCUUACCAAGGCUUUGACGGGUAGCCGGCCUGAGAGGGUGGCCGGCCACAUUGGGACUGAGAUACGGCCCAGACUCCUACGGGAGGCAGCGGUGGGGAAUAUUGCACAAUGGGCGGAAGCCUGAUGCAGCAACGCCGCGUGCGGGAAGACGGCCUUCGGGUAGUAAACCGCUGUCGCCUGUGACGAAGCGUGAGUGACGGUAAUGGGUAAAGAAGCACCGGCUAACUACGUG